CUGGUCGAGUGAAGUUGCGCGGAAAAUUACCGGGGCUAAACUAUACACCGAAAUUGCGGAUUUGCAUAGAAAUAUGUAAGUGGUAGAGGAGCAUUCUAUAGUAGGACGAAGCAUAAUCGAAAGGAUAUGUGGACGAGAUAGAAGAGAGAAUGCCGGAAUAAGUAGCGAAAGCAUGGUGAGAAUCCAUGCCAUCGAAAGUCUAAGGUUUCCUGGGGAAGGUUCGUCCGCCCAGGGUAAGUCGGGACCUAAGGAGAGGCCGAAAAGCGUAUCCGAUGGACAGCAGGUAGAAAUUCCUGCACUACGUAAUACUUAAAAGACAUAAAUGACACAGGAGUGGAAGAUAAGCGAGGAAGAGGAAAGACUCGUAUCGAAAGAUAUAGUGAAAAUUAAAGUAACGAAUUAUCAAGAAGCUAAUGGCGAGAAAAGUUUAUGGAUAUUGUAUUAAGUACCCGUACCGCAAACCGACACAGGUAGAUGAGGAGAAGAUCCUAAGAUGAGCGAGAGAAGCAUUGUUAAGGAACUCGGCAAACUGACCCCGUAACUUCGGAAUAAGGGGUGCUGGAGUAGAAUCCAGUCGCAGAGAAUAGUCCCAAGCAACUGUUUAACAAAAACACAGGUUUCUGCUAAAUCGAAAGAUGAAGUAUAGGAGCUGACACCUGCCCAGUGCUGGAAGGUUAAGGGAAAGAGUUAGACGCAAGUCGAAGCUUAGAACUAAAGCCCCAGUGAACGGCGGCCGUAACUAUAACGGUCCUAAGGUAGCGAAAUUCCUUGUCAGGUAAGUUCUGACCCGCACGAAAGGCGUAAUGAUUUGGGCGCUGUCUCGACAAUGUACUCGGCGAAAUUGUAGUACUAGUGAAGAUGCUAGUUACCUGCGACAAGACAGAAAGACCCCAUGGAGCUUUACUGCAGCUUGAUACUGGGUUUCGGUAAUUUAUGUACAGGAUAGGUGGGAUGCUAAGAAGUAUGUGCGCCAGCGCAUAUGGAGCAGACGUUGGGAUACCACCCUUAAAUUACUGGAAUUCUAACUAUAAGUCCUAAGCGGGCUUGAGGACAAUGUCAGGCGGGCAGUUUGACUGGGGCGGUCGCCUCCUAAAGAGUAACGGAGGCGCGCAAAGGUUUCCUCAGCGCGGACAGAAAUCGCGCGAAAGAGUGCAAAGGCAGAAGGAAGCUUAACUGAGAGACAGACAUGUCGACCAGAUACGAAAGUAGGUCUUAGUGAUCCGGUGGUUGUAAGUGGAAAUGCCAUCGCUCAACGGACAAAAGUUACCCUGGGGAUAACAGGCUUAUCUCCCCCAAGAGUUCACAUCGACGGGGAGGUUUGGCACCUCGAUGUCGGCUCAUCACAUCCUGGGGCUGUAUUCGGUCCCAAGGGUUCGGCUGUUCGCCGAUUAAAGUGGUACGCGAGCUGGGUUCAGAACGUCGUGAGACAGUUCGGUCCUUAUCUGUCGCAGGCGCAGGAUAUUUGAGGGGAGUUGACCUUAGUACGAGAGGACCAGGUUGAACUUACCAAUGGUGUAUCAGUUGUCAUACCAAUGGCACGGCUGAGUAGCUAAGUAGGGAAGGGAUAAACGCUGAAAGCAUCUAAGUGUGAAGCCCACCCCAAGAUAAGAUAUCCCAUACCGUAAGGUAGU
RNAcentral lists this ribosomal RNA (1631 nucleotides) under human gut metagenome. RNAcentral's name for it is "bacterial LSU rRNA". It matches the Rfam family "Bacterial large subunit ribosomal RNA", at positions 1145 to 2829 of the family's 2925-position model. The record is from RNAcentral.